GACGGAGGGGGCAAGCGUUGUCCGGAAUCACUGGGCGUAAAGCGCGUGUAGGUGGUCUCGUGCGUCGGCGCUGAAACCUGCAGGCUUAACCUGUAGACGCGUGCCGAUACGACGUGACUUGAGGCAGGGAGAGGGUAGCGGAACUCCGGGUGUAGUGGUGAAAUGCGUAGAGAUCCGGAAGAACGCCUGUAGCGAAAGCGGCUACCUGGCCCUGACCUGACACUGAGACGCGACAGCGUGGGGAGCGAACCGG
Molecule: ribosomal RNA, 253 nt
Filed under: uncultured bacterium
Lineage: Bacteria
Description: partial 16S ribosomal RNA
Rfam family: Bacterial small subunit ribosomal RNA
Source: RNAcentral